Molecule: ribosomal RNA, 229 nt
Filed under: uncultured bacterium
Lineage: Bacteria
Description: partial 16S ribosomal RNA
Rfam family: Bacterial small subunit ribosomal RNA
Source: RNAcentral
UCCGUAGGCGGGCGUCUAAGUCAGUGGUGAAAUCUUACAGCUCAACUGUAAAAUUGCCAUUGAUACUGGAUGUCUUGAAUUAGUGUGAAGUGGUUAGAAUGUGUAGUGUAGCGGUGAAAUGCAUAGAUAUUACACAGAAUACCAAUUGCGAAGGCAGAUAACUAACACUACAUUGACGCUGAGGGAAGAAAGCGUGGGGAGCGAACAGGAUUAGAUACCCUGGUAGUCC